Molecule: long non-coding RNA, 1446 nt
Filed under: Anolis carolinensis (green anole)
Lineage: Eukaryota; Metazoa; Chordata; Lepidosauria; Squamata; Anolidae
Description: lncRNA (ENSACAG00000035630.1)
Source: RNAcentral
AUGGUUUCGUCGGUUUCCUUGCACAGUCUGCAUUUUGGGUCAUCAGCUGAUUUUUCAAUCUUGGCCUUAAUUGUAUUUGUUCUGAUGGCUUGCUCCUGGGCUGCAAGGAUCAGGCCUUCUGUCUCCUUCUUCAGGGUCCCAUUCGUGAGCCAGAGCCAGGUCUUCUCCUUAUCAGCUUUUCCUUCAAUUUUGUCAAGGAACUUUCCAUGCAGUGUUUUGUUGUGCCAGCUGUCAGCUCUAGUUUGUAGUGCGGUUUUCUUGUACUGGUUUUUUUCAGCUCUAGUUUGUAGUGCGGUUUUCUUGUACUGGUUUUUUGUCUGCUGUGUUUUGAGGAGUUUCUGAUUUUUGACUUCAAUCAAAGCAGGUUCUUCACUUUGCUUGACAUAUUCUGCCAGGGCAUGUUCUUCUUCUUUGACUGCUUGCUUUACUUGUAAGAGUCCUCUGCCCCCUGAUCUUCUAGGCAGAUAGAGCCGGUCAACAUCACUGCGAGGGUGCAGGGAAUGAUGAAUGGUCAUGAGUUUUCUUGUUUUUCUGUCCAAAUUGUCCAGUUCCACCUGUGUCCAAUUUAUAAUGCCAGCAGUAUAUCUUAUGACAGGUAUGGCCCAGGUGUUUAUGGCCUUGAUGGUGUUGCCUCCAUUGAGCUUGCUUUUGAGAAUUUUUCUGACCCUUUGUGUGUAUUCUUUGCUGACUACAGUUUUCACAUGUUCAUGCUUGAUGUUGUCCAGCUGUAAUAUGCCCAGAUAUUUAUAGGCCUCUGGCUGGUGACACUUUAUUGUUUGGCCAUUGGGCAUCUUUAUGCCCUCACUUUCAAUGAUUUUUCCCUUCUUCAAUGCCACUGUCGAACAUUUGUCCAAACCAAACUCCAUGUUGAUAUCAGUGCUAAAAAUUCGGACAGUGUUGGUCAGAGAGGAGCACAACCAAGAGCACCUAACCCAAUAGCAUUAUGGAGAAUCAAACCCAAAAGAAGUCUAUACUGGCUCAGUCGUCGCCCAGGAUAAAAAGGACCGCGGUGGAUGCUGCUGAUUCUGGACAUCCAUCGACAAGUGGGCUACGGAAUCAUCAAAACCCAAAUGAACAGUCACAGAAGCGGCAAAAAUAUACAAUGCCAGAAAACCGCACAAUUAUUAUUAUUAUUAUUAUUAUUAUUAUUAUUAUUAUUAUUCACACAACGAUGUUGUAUGACACAGCAAACGAGAUAGACAUGCUGGAUUUCGUUUCACAAAACCACAAGUCGAACACUUCCCAAGUGUCUAGGACUGUGUGAUGUAUUUUCGGAUGAUGCGUGCAGAUCCCAGCAGGGUGGCCUUUUGCAGUUGGCAGAUCGUAAUUUUGUCAAUGUCUAUUGUUUCCAAAUGCCGGCUGAGAUCUUUUGGCACGGCACCCAUUAUUAUUAUUAUUAUUAUUAUUAUUAUUAUUAUUAUUAUUAUUAUUAUUAUUAUUAUUUCC